CAGAAUAUAGCUUAAACAAAGCAUUUUGCUUACACCAAAAAAAUAUCCGCACAGGAUUAUUCUG
This 64-nucleotide transfer RNA is filed under the name Pseudoeurycea obesa (ridge-tailed salamander). Its description in RNAcentral is "tRNA-Val". The record is from RNAcentral. Lineage: Eukaryota; Metazoa; Chordata; Amphibia; Caudata; Plethodontidae.